RNAcentral lists this long non-coding RNA (378 nucleotides) under Lathyrus oleraceus (garden pea). Its description in RNAcentral is "Pisum sativum (pea) long non-coding RNA (PSAT_LNC034991)". Lineage: Eukaryota; Viridiplantae; Streptophyta; Magnoliopsida; Fabales; Fabaceae. The record is from RNAcentral.
AAGGAGGGGUUCAAAGUGAAGAAUUGGGGCACUACUAUAUUCCCCCUCUUCUUACUGAGGAAGAGCAUAUUUAAGGAAGCCGACUCUCGUUCUUUAUCUACGGGAAUAUGAAAAGUAGACCUGUCGCGCUUCGAAGAAAGGUAGUUCCCUGGGGUCUGUCUAUCUUACUAUAUAUACGAUGCACCUAGGUUUAUAAGGAAGCCGACUCUCGUUCUUUAUCUACGGGAAUAUGAAAAGUAGACCUGUCGCGCUUCGAAGAAAGGUAGUUCCCUGGGGUCUGUCUAUCUUACUAUAUAUACGAUGCACCUAGGUUUCCAGACAUUUAGACUGAAGUCUGAUAAGGCAAGAAGCAUUUUCUCUAAAAGUGAUAACCUUUUU